Molecule: signal recognition particle RNA, 287 nt
Filed under: Rhinolophus ferrumequinum (greater horseshoe bat)
Lineage: Eukaryota; Metazoa; Chordata; Mammalia; Chiroptera; Rhinolophidae
Description: Metazoan signal recognition particle RNA (ENSRFEG00010001989.1)
Rfam family: Metazoan signal recognition particle RNA
About the family: The signal recognition particle (SRP) is a universally conserved ribonucleoprotein. It is involved in the co-translational targeting of proteins to membranes.
Source: Rfam by way of RNAcentral
GCGGUGGCAUGUGCUUGUAGUCCCAGUUUCGGGAGGCUGAGGCAGGAAGAUCACCAGAGCCUAGGAAGUUCUGGGCUGUAGUGUGUGAUGCUGAUUGGCUGUCCGCACUAAGUUUGGCAUCAACAUUGUGACCUCCUGGGAGCAGGGGAUUACCAAGUUGCCUAAGGAGGGGUGAACUGGCCCAGGUCAUAAAUGGAGCACGUCAAAACUCCCAUACUAGUCAGUAUAGACUUUGUUUUAAAAUCUAUUUUGUCUCAUAUAAAUAUUGGUACCCUGGUUAUUUUCUU